CACCGCGGUUAGACGAGGGGCCCAAGUUGAUAACAAUCGGCGUAAAGCGUGGUUAGGUUAACCCCAAACUAAAGUCAAACUCUUCCCCCGUUGUUAUAAGCCCUCGGAAGCAAGAAGAUCAACUACGAAAGUGACUUUAUAAGACUGAAGCCACGAAAGCUAGGGCA
This 167-nucleotide ribosomal RNA is filed under the name Insidiator macracanthus (large-spined flathead). RNAcentral describes it as "partial 12S rRNA". Lineage: Eukaryota; Metazoa; Chordata; Actinopteri; Perciformes; Platycephalidae. The record is from RNAcentral.